AAUUGACAAAGAGAAGUCUGAUUUCCAAAAUCAUUAACAUUUUAAAAAGUAGGUGUUCUUUGUUGGUUAAAAACAUUUUCUGUCUUGCAGAGUGUCCUAUUCCUUGAAGGAAGUAUAACAUAUCCUUAUGACACAGUUUCCUUUGUCCUUAUGUUUGAAAAAAUUUCCUAAGCAUUUAAUAGAUAAAAUAAUUUUAACUUUUAAAAAGUACUAAGUAGUACUACAAAAUUUGUAGUAAAUGCAGAUUACUUUGUAAAACUUAAUAAAACAAAAAAGUUAUCAUUUG
Molecule: long non-coding RNA, 286 nt
Filed under: Bos taurus (domestic cattle)
Lineage: Eukaryota; Metazoa; Chordata; Mammalia; Artiodactyla; Bovidae
Description: long non-coding RNA NONBTAT023738
Source: RNAcentral